UUUGGAGAUGGUAGGUGAGGGUAGCAGGUGAAUGUUAGGAGAUGGUAGGUGAGGGUAGCAAGUGAAUGUUAGGAGAUGGUAGGUGAGGGUAGCAGGUGAAUGUUAGGAGAUGGUAGGUGAGGGUAGCAAGUGAAUGUUAGGAGAUGGUAGGUGAGGGUAGCAAGUGAAUGUUAGGAGAUGGUAGGUGAGGGUAGCAGGUGAAUGUUAGGAGAUGGUAGGUGAGGGUAGCAAGUGAAUGUUAGGAGAUGGUAGGUGAGGGUAGCAGGUGAAUGUUAGGAGAUGGUAGGUGAGGGUAGCAGGUGAAUGUUAGGAGAUGGUAGGUGAGGGUAGCAAGUGAAUGUUAGGAGAUGGUAGGUGAGGGUAGCAGGUGAA
Cherax quadricarinatus is the source of this 372-nucleotide non-coding RNA. Lineage: Eukaryota; Metazoa; Arthropoda; Malacostraca; Decapoda; Parastacidae. The record is from RefSeq and is a predicted model, not a curated record.